GCCGCGAGGUAGAGCAAAUCUCAAAAAAACAAUCUCAGUUCAGACUGCAGGCUGCAACUCGCCUGCACGAAGUCGGAAUUGCUAGUAAUCGUAGGUCAGCAUACUACGGUGAAUACGUUCCCGGGCCUUGUACACACCGCCCGUCAAACCAUGAGAGUUGGCAACACCCGAAGUCGGUAGUCUAACCGCAAGGAGGACGCCGCCGAAGGUGGGGUUGAUGAUUAGGGUUAAGUCGUAACAAGGUACC
RNAcentral lists this ribosomal RNA (247 nucleotides) under uncultured bacterium. RNAcentral describes it as "partial 16S ribosomal RNA". It matches the Rfam family "Bacterial small subunit ribosomal RNA", at positions 1254 to 1500 of the family's 1533-position model. The record is from RNAcentral.